Molecule: small nuclear RNA, 107 nt
Filed under: Mus pahari (shrew mouse)
Lineage: Eukaryota; Metazoa; Chordata; Mammalia; Rodentia; Muridae
Source: RNAcentral
GCGCUCACUUUGGCAGUACAUAUACUAAAAUUGGAAUAACACAGAGAAGAUUAACAUGGUCCCUGUGCAAGAAUGACACGCAAAUUUGUGAACUGUUCCAUAUUUGU